RNAcentral lists this ribosomal RNA (497 nucleotides) under uncultured bacterium. RNAcentral's name for it is "partial 16S ribosomal RNA". It matches the Rfam family "Bacterial small subunit ribosomal RNA", at positions 28 to 507 of the family's 1533-position model. The record is from RNAcentral.
GAUGAACGCUGGCGGCGUGCCUAAUACAUGCAAGUCGAGCGAACGGACGAGAAGCUUGCUUCUCUGAUGUUAGCGGCGGACGGGUGAGUAACACGUGGAUAACCUACCUAUAAGACUGGGAUAACUUCGGGACACCGGAGCUAAUACCGGAUAAUCUUUUGAACCGCAUGGUUCAAAAGUGAAAGACGGUCUUGCUGUCACUUAUAGAUGGAUCCGCGCUGCAUUAGCUAGUUGGUAAGGUAACGGCUUACCAAGGCAACGAUGCAUAGCCGACCUGAGAGGGUGAUCGGCCACACUGGAACUGGAACACGGUCCAGACUCCUACGGGAGGCAGCAGUAGGGAAUCUUCCGCAAUGGGCGAAAGCCUGACGGAGCAACGCCGCGUGAGUGAUGAAGGUCUUCGGAUCGUAAAACUCUGUUAUGAGGGAAGAACAUAUGUGUAAGUAACUGUGCACAUCUUGACGGUACCUAAUCAGAAAGCCACGGCUAACUACGUG